AUACCUUUCUCGGCCUUUUGGGUAAGAUUAAGUGUAGUAUCUAGUCUUAUUAGUUUAAUAUCGUAAAAAUAACACGGUAUAGUUAGUUUUUGGAUUGGUUAUUUAAA
This 107-nucleotide small nuclear RNA is filed under the name Nicotiana sylvestris (wood tobacco). Its description in RNAcentral is "U2 spliceosomal RNA". It matches the Rfam family "U2 spliceosomal RNA", at positions 1 to 121 of the family's 192-position model. From Rfam's summary of the family: U2 is a small nuclear RNA (snRNA) component of the spliceosome (involved in pre-mRNA splicing). Complementary binding between U2 snRNA (in an area lying towards the 5' end but 3' to hairpin I) and the branchpoint sequence (BPS) of the intron results the bulging out of an unpaired adenosine, on the BPS, which initiates a nucleophilic attack at the intronic 5' splice site, thus starting the first of two transesterification reactions that mediate splicing. The record is from Rfam by way of RNAcentral. Lineage: Eukaryota; Viridiplantae; Streptophyta; Magnoliopsida; Solanales; Solanaceae. RNAcentral also lists the same sequence under 1 other name.